This 371-nucleotide ribosomal RNA is filed under the name uncultured bacterium. RNAcentral's name for it is "bacterial SSU rRNA". It matches the Rfam family "Bacterial small subunit ribosomal RNA", at positions 527 to 896 of the family's 1533-position model. The record is from RNAcentral.
GUAGGGAGCAAGCGUUGUUCGGAAUAAUUGGGCGUAAAGAGCGCGUAGGCGGUUCGGUAAGUCUGAUGUGAAAUCCCAGAGCUUAACUCUGGGACUGCAUUGGAUACUGCCGAGCUUGAGUGUGGGAGAGGAGAGUGGAAUUCCCAGUGUAGAGGUGAAAUUCGUAGAUAUUGGGAGGAACACCCGUGGCGAAGGCGGCUCUCUGGACCACAACUGACGCUGAGGCGCGAAAGCUAGGGUAGCAAACGGGAUUAGAUACCCCGGUAGUCCUAGCCGUAAACGAUGGGCACUAGGUGUUGGAGGUAUCGACCCCUCCAGUGCCGCAGCUAACGCAUUAAGUGCCCCGCCUGGGGAGUACGGUCGCAAGACUA